GAUGAACGCUGGCGGCGUGCCUAAUACAUGCAAGUCGAGCGAACAGACGAGGAGCUUGCUCCUCUGACGUUAGCGGCGGACGGGUGAGUAACACGUGGAUAACCUACCUAUAAGACUGGGAGAACUUCGGGAAACCGGAGCUAAUACCGGAUAAUAUAUUGAACCGCAUGGUUCAAUAGUGAGAGACGGUUUUGCUGUCACUUAUAGAUGGAUCCGCGCCGCAUUAGCUAGUUGGUAAGGUAACGGCUUACCAAGGCAACGAUGCGUAGCCGACCUGAGAGGGUGAUCGGCCACACUGGAACUGAGACACGGUCCAGACUCCUACGGGAGGCAGCAGUAGGGAAUCUUCCGCAAUGGGCGAAAGCCUGACGGAGCAACGCCGCGUGAGUGAUGAAGGUCUUCGGAUCGUAAAACUCUGUUAUUAGGGAAGAACAAAUGUGUAAGUAACUAUGCACGUCUUGACGGUACCUACUCAGAAAGCCACGGCUAACUACGUG
RNAcentral lists this ribosomal RNA (497 nucleotides) under uncultured bacterium. RNAcentral's name for it is "partial 16S ribosomal RNA". It matches the Rfam family "Bacterial small subunit ribosomal RNA", at positions 28 to 507 of the family's 1533-position model. The record is from RNAcentral.